This 387-nucleotide ribosomal RNA is filed under the name uncultured bacterium. Its description in RNAcentral is "bacterial SSU rRNA". It matches the Rfam family "Bacterial small subunit ribosomal RNA", at positions 29 to 426 of the family's 1533-position model. The record is from RNAcentral.
AUUGAACGCUGGCGGCAUGCCUUACACAUGCAAGUCGAGCGCGAAAGGGGCAACCCGAGUAGAGCGGCGGACGGGUGAGUAACACAUCGGAACGUGCCCAGUAGUGGGGACGAACCUCGAGAAAUCGAGGCUAAUACCGCAUACGACCCACGGGUGAAAGCGGGGACCGCAAGGCCUCGCGCUAUUGGAGCGGCCGAUGUCCGAUUAGCUAGUUGGCGGGGUAANAGCCCACCAAGGCGACGAUCGGUAGCUGGUCUGAGAGGACGACCAGCCACACUGGGACUGAGACACGGCCCAGACUCCUACGGAGGCAGCAGUGGGGAAUUUGGACAAUGGGGGCAACCCUGAUCCAGCCAUGCCGCGUGCGGGAAGAAGGCCUUCGGUUGU